GUCGAACGAACUCUGGUAUUGAUUGGUGCUUGCAUCAUGAUUUACAUUUGAGUGAGUGGCGAACUGGUGAGUAACACGUGGGAAACCUGCCCAGAAGCGGGGGAUAACACCUGGAAACAGAUGCUAAUACCGCAUAACAACUUGGACCGCAUGGUCCGAGCUUGAAAGAUGGCUUCGGCUAUCACUUUUGGAUGGUCCCGCGGCGUAUUAGCUAGAUGGUGGGGUAACGGCUCACCAUGGCAAUGAUACGUAGCCGACCUGAGAGGGUAAUCGGCCACAUUGGGACUGAGACACGGCCCAAACUCCUACGGGAGGCAGCAGUAGGGAAUCUUCCACAAUGGACGAAAGUCUGAUGGAGCAACGCCGCGUGAGUGAAGAAGGGUUUCGGCUCGUAAAACUCUGUUGUUAAAGAAGAACAUAUCUGAGAGUAACUGUUCAGGUAUUGACGGUAUUUAACCAGAAAGCCACGGCUAACUACGUGCCAGCAGCCGCGGUAAUACGUAGGUGGCAAGCGUUGUCCGGAUUUAUUGGGCGUAAAGCGAGCGCAGGCGGUUUUUUAAGUCUGAUGUGAAAGCCUUCGGCUCAACCGAAGAAGUGCAUCGGAAACUGGGAAACUUGAGUGCAGAAGAGGACAGUGGAACUCCAUGUGUAGCGGUGAAAUGCGUAGAUAUAUGGAAGAACACCAGUGGCGAAGGCGGCUGUCUGGUCUGUAACUGACGCUGAGGCUCGAAAGUAUGGGUAGCAAACAGGAUUAGAUACCCUGGUAGUCCAUACCGUAAACGAUGAAUGCUAAGUGUUGGAGGGUUUCCGCCCUUCAGUGCUGCAGCUAACGCAUUAAGCAUUCCGCCUGGGGAGUACGGCCGCAAGGCUGAAACUCAAAGGAAUUGACGGGGGCCCGCACAAGCGGUGGAGCAUGUGGUUUAAUUCGAAGCUACGCGAAGAACCUUACCAGGUCUUGACAUACUAUGCAAAUCUAAGAGAUUAGACGUUCCCUUCGGGGACAUGGAUACAGGUGGUGCAUGGUUGUCGUCAGCUC
RNAcentral lists this ribosomal RNA (1036 nucleotides) under Lactiplantibacillus plantarum. RNAcentral's name for it is "bacterial SSU rRNA". It matches the Rfam family "Bacterial small subunit ribosomal RNA", at positions 61 to 1061 of the family's 1533-position model. The record is from RNAcentral. Lineage: Bacteria; Bacillati; Bacillota; Bacilli; Lactobacillales; Lactobacillaceae.